ACCCCGGGAGGGGAGUGAAAUAGAUCCUGAAACCGCAUGCAUACAAAAAGUCGGAGCCGCAAGGUGACGGCGUACCUUUUGUAUAAUGGGUCAGCGAGUUACUUUGACGAGCAAGCCUAAGCCGUUAGGCGUAAGCGAAGCGAAAGCGAGUCUGAAUAGGGCGCCAUAGUUUGUCGGAUUAGACCCGAAACCGAGUGAUCUAGAUAUGAGCAGGUUGAAGGUGCAGUAACAUGCACUGGAGGACCGAACCCACUAAUGUUGAAAAAUUAGGGGAUGACUUGUGUCUAGGGGUGAAAGGCCAAUCAAACUCGGAAAUAGCUGGUUCUCCGCGAAAUCUAUUUAGGUAGAGCGUCGCACGAAUACUCUCGGGGGUAGAGCACUGGAUGGGCUAGGGGGCCUCACCGCUUACCAAACCUAACCAAACUCCGAAUACCGAGAAGUACUAUGCGGCAGACACACCACGGGUGCUAAGGUCCGUGGUGGAGAGGGAAAGAGCCCAGACCGCCAUCUAAGGUCCCCAAGUUAUGACUAAGUGGGAAAGGAAGUGGAAUGUCCAAAACAACCAGGAGGUUGGCUUAGAAGCAGCCAUCCUUUAAAG
RNAcentral lists this ribosomal RNA (598 nucleotides) under Pteridomonas danica. Its description in RNAcentral is "partial Bacterial large subunit ribosomal RNA". It matches the Rfam family "Bacterial large subunit ribosomal RNA", at positions 523 to 1128 of the family's 2925-position model. Lineage: Eukaryota; Dictyochophyceae; Pedinellales. The record is from RNAcentral.